AGGGACCGUCCAAAGCUGCUGUUCGAUACAGUUUGCGCUCUUACCGACUUGCAGUACGUGGUGUUUCAUGCUGCAGUGAGUUCAAAUGGGACUGUGGCUGAUCAGGAGUAUUUUAUUCGGCAUAAAGGUGGCUGCAUUUUGGAUUCAGAGAGUGAAAGGAAAAGGCUUCUACAGGGCCUUGUUGCAGCCAUAGAGAGAAGAGUUUCACAUGGAUUGAGGCUGGAACUCUGCACUUUAAACAGAGUGGGAUUGUUAUCAGACAUCACACGG
RNAcentral lists this unclassified non-coding RNA (270 nucleotides) under Hevea brasiliensis (rubber tree). Lineage: Eukaryota; Viridiplantae; Streptophyta; Magnoliopsida; Malpighiales; Euphorbiaceae. The record is from RNAcentral.